CUUGCAGAUGAAGCAAGGCAAAGUUAUUUUAUAAAAGAGAGUCUUUAAAGGGUAGUUUUUCAUGCCUCAGAAGAUGGCAACAAAUAGAUGCUGCCGUUAUUUAUAGCACAGAGCACCUCAGAUCUCUGAGAUUAUCAGGUAUGAAAUGUUUUCGCUCUAGUUUUCAGUAAGCAAUUCAGUAUUUUUUUUCUUUUUUCUUUUUUUUUUUUUUUUUUUUUUGAUGCCUUGGCUGGAGUGCAAUGGUGUGAUCUCAGCUCACUGCAGCCUCCACCUCCUGGGUUCAAACGGUUCUCCUGCCUCAGCCUCCUGAGUAGCUGGGAUUACAGGUGCCCGCCAGCACGCCCAGCUAAUUUUUUUGUAUUUUUAGUAGAGAGAGGGUUUUGCCAUGUUUGCCAGGCUGGUCUAGAACUCCUGACCUCAAGUGAUCCGCCCGCCUUGGCCUCCCAAAGUGCUGGGAUUACAGGCUUGGGCCACCGCAUCCGGCCGCAAUUCAGUAUUUUUAAUUGCUAAAUCCAACCACUAACAAUUAAGUUCAGACAUGCACACGAGGAAGCCAAAGAAAAUGCAGUUUCAAGUGAGUGUAAAUCCAGCUCUGUGUGGCCCUGGUGAAGGAAAACAGUUGACUGGCUCGUUUUCCUACGAGCUUUUUCAAUACCAAGCGUCCUAAAUCCACCUCUGAAUUUCUUUAUCUAGCAACUCUACCUAGUAAUGGGCAGUACAGUAACAAAGCAAACAGGACUUUAGAUUAUUUCCUUUCAACUUCUAACCAUAUACACAUGGUUGAACUCAAUUUAGUCCUUUCUGCUUCCCGGUGAUAGAAUUUCUUGCACCAGACUUAAUAUCCUUGGUGUCACACCUACAAACACCUUCAUCAAAACUAGCUGCUAGUGAGCAAGAUGGCCUGAGAACAUACUGGCUUAGGUAUGCAUCCGUAUGAAGCACUCCAUUCUGUGUUGAUCUGUGGACGCAGUUUGUCACUGGUUAGUUCUGCUGAGAGCAAAUGGGUGGGUACCCAGUGGAUGAAGGGAUAUGCAGCCCUAUAUCCUUUCAGUUAUUUAAUCACAAGUUGACACUUCUCUAGCUAAAAACACUUCCCUAUUCAUUCAUCUUUCUAUUCAGUAGAAUGUCUUUUAUUAGAUGCGUUUGUGGCAAAUUUAGCUAUUUUGGUCUUUGCUUGUCAUUGCUGUCUUACUUUUUAGAAUUCCAGUUUUUACCAUACUUUAUGGGCUGUGUGUGUGUGUGUGUGUGUGUGUGUGUGUGUGUGUAUAAGUAGCUUUGAAUGGCCAAGGAUUAAUCUUAGUCAUAAAUACUCAGAUCUGUGAUUUAAUGAUAGAGCCAAUGCUACACUUCCUUCCUUGUUAUAACUUUACAUUUUUGACCUUGUUUAUUAAGCUGGGCAGAAAAUUUCUUCAACUUAAUCUGCAAUGAUUUUCACAUUGCUUUAGGUAGAUUUUGAAAAGCAGAUAUUCUGUUCUUCAUAAUUUCCUGCCUCUUAAAAAUCUUGUAUUUAAGCUAUUAUCAGAAAGUUUCCCAAAGAAGCAUACAAACAUAGAAUAAGGAUGGCGUUUUUAUUUAUUCCAUGUUCAUGGGAUCACAAAUCUUUGAGCACGUGUAAGGGGGUAUGGCUUCCAGCAAAUGGGCAGGUGAUGGGGCACAGAGGAGGAGUCCGCUGCAGAGAGUCAAUGGAUAUGAAGGGGUUCCCGUUCCCCAGCUCAGCAGAUGGGCAGUUCCUAAGUGGGUUGUACCUCUGUCUUCAGGUAGCAGUUCUGAGGGCUGCAGUCAGGGUUCUGUACUGGUCUCUUAUUGUGAAAUUUUCUAAAAGGUUAGUUUGAUUCUGGGGAAUUGGAUCUUAUUUUUACUAGAGCUGGGGAGGCAGCUCUAGUAAAGACCCCUGAAAAACAAGGGGUUAAGCAGUAUUUAAACAAGAUCCUUUUAGUUUUUCCACAGCUGAUCCAAGCCAGAUUUAAUAGCAGCGGGAUCAUGGACAAGUGAUAAUGCCUCUUUAAGCAUUAGGGUUCCCAUCUGUAAUGUCAGGAUAACAUACACCUCUAAGGUUUUUAUGGGGGUUAAAUAAGGCUAUAUUCAUAAUGUACAUUUAAUAUAGCCAUGGGUAAGUGCAUGAUUUUAGGUAGAAAAGUGUUAUCCAAGUCCAUUUGUCUCACAGUUCUUAGUAUAUUAGUCACAAGCUCCAAGAACAUCCCAUUUAUACACAAAAAGUUUCAAGGUAGAUUGAUUCAACUAUUUUGUAAUAAAUGCUUGAAGGAAUCAAUCAGUAACUCCACAGUGGCUUAGAUGAAAAGUCAUUUAAUUAUAAUAAAACUUCUAUAAAUGGAUAGGGAUUAUUAUCCCUACUUGACAGUCGAAAAAAACAAGGCUUGGGAACAACUUGGCUGACACAAGGUCAUUUCUGAUGAGUAGCAGAACUUUUCAGCCACAAGCCCCAUGGUCCUAUUAGGCCCAUCAGAAAGCAGCCAUUGCCUAUAAGUAAAUGGACAGGUCUGUUCCAUGGAACACACAAUUACUUUAAAUUUUUAAGCUAUAAUAAAAGUAUUUCACUGAUGUUAUGUUUUUUGAGAAUUUCACUGAUCUCUGUUGUGAUAAGCGGAGAAGCACUGGUUUAGGUACUGAAGUCAGCUCUCUCCCUCCCUCCAAUAAAAUCUACACCACGAUAUGGAUUUCAACCCAGACUUUUCUUCGAAUCCCAGUCUUCUGUCACUGAUUGAGAAUAAAUACACAGAAGGUGUCUUUGAAUUCAUACAAAGCAGCACUUAAAUUUGAGUGGAACAUUAUGCCCUAAGAUAGAAAGACAUGUUUACAAGGCUCUACGGAGGCUCCCCUACACAAACCAAAGCCGUUGUUUCAAAUUAGAGCUUAUCUAGAGAUUCAGAGAGGCUGCCAGAAUCCUCCAGCCAAACUCUGACUGGUUUGUAUUUCCAUGUUUGAUCAAAGAUACAAUGCUGAGUGUGGCUGAAAGAAACAGCUUGUUGUCAACAAUACAGAAGGAUUGCACAGUGAGUGCAGUGUUUUGUUUGAUUCCAUUAAGCAUGCUGCCAGAGCCUACUGUGCAUGUGAGGUACCCAAUUAAUCUAAGUCCACAUUGGAAUGUGAUUAAUGUAAGCCCACAUUGGACGUCCACGUCUGAAAGAUUCAAGCCACAGAUGCUACCAUGGAUGUUUAUUCUUUGUGUGGAAAACACUCAGUUUUUGCAUAAACCAUGUGUGUACAUAAGGGCUAUUAGUGUGGCAUCAACAGAGGUUAGGGGUGGGCAGUGGGACUGAGUUUCCAAAUAGGUCCUUGUGGCCUCCUGAUUUAAUAUCCGAGUUAUGGGCAGCCUCAUGGGUGUCUCCUACUUUUAUUAAGAAGACACUGAUUGACCAAUCCAAGGAGGGAGAGGAAAGAGCCUUUGCCUCUUCAUCGUCCUGACAGGCUCACCAAAUUACAUGUAGCAUGACCAAAGAACAACACAAACCCAUCAGCUACUGUGGCAGCGAGUGUCUGAAAACAGUCUGCACCAUUAAUUGGGAGAGCUGGUGGUGGAGAGGUGGCUCACGCCUAGUGCCUGAGAAGGGGACAGGAGGUGUGACUUCACGGCCAGUCAAGUCGGGACUUCCAGGAGCAUUAGUGUGAGUCUCUAGUGCAUUUUCACAGUCAUCUGGGGUCCUAAUUAGCAGUAUGUUUUGAAAAACAUUUUGACUGUGUGCAAGGUCUCCUCCACGCUCAAAAUAUUGUAACCAAAAGCCUUCCAAAUUAAGGUGGAUUUUUAAGCAGGAAUUUUCUCAUUUUCUUCCUCCUUCAAUUUCUACAACACACUUUCAAAGGAAAAGAAGUACACCUGUGAUAUGUACAUUUUUGGCAUAUUUCAAAGCCCUCAGGGCAGUUCUGCCUGGCCCUCAGUCAUAGACGAGGUAGAGACACUCUGAUUCUAUUUGUGGUUGUAUUUACAUCCAUGUCUGGGAAGCCCUUAUGGAAUUCUGUUUCUCUGGUUAUUUGGAGUGCAUGGUGCCCAAUUGUUUAGUUUUGGUGGUGCUUGAGGGCAUGCUCUAAAUACAUCCAGGUUUGUGCACAAAUACCACAGCUCCGUAGGACCCUUGUUUAGUUCAACUUUCCAAAUUUUAGCGUGAACAGACAAAGGUAACGAGAGUUUUGGGAGACUGUCCUGCCUCCUUGGAGAUGUUUUCCACUUCUAGAGCUGAGGGGCUGGAAGAGGGAUCAUGAGGAUCAUGGAGCUCCACUCAUGUAGUUUAUAGAUAAGAAAAUCCAGAGCCUGGCCAGGUGCGGUGGCUUACAUCUUAAUCCCGGCACUUUGGGAGGCUGAGGUGGAUGGAUUGUUUGAGACCAGGAGUUUGAGACCAGCCUAGGCAACAUGGCAAAACCCUGUCUCUAUUAAAAAUACAAAAAUUAACUGGGCGUGAUGGUGCACACCUGUAGUCCCAGCUACUCCAGAGGCGUGAGAAUUGCUUGAACCCAGGAGGUGGAGGUCGCAGUGAGCUGAGACUGCACACUACUACACUCCAGCCUGGGCAACAAAGUAAGACACUGCCAAAGAAGGAGGGAGGGAAGGAAGGAAGGAAGGAGGGAGAGAGGAGAGAGAGAGAGAGAACAGGAAGGAAGGAAGGGAGAAAGGAGAGACAGAGAGAGAGGAAGGAAGGAAGGGAGAAAGAGAGAGAGAAAGAGAGGAAGGAAGGAAGGAGAAAGAAAGAUAAAGAAAGAAAAAGAAAGAAAAGAGGAAGGAAGGAAGGAGAGAGGGAAGGAGAGAAAAGGAAAGGAAAAGGAAAAGAGGAAAGAAAAGGAAAGGGAAGGGAGAGGGAAAGGAGAAGGGAAAGGAAGAGAAGGGAAGAAGGGAAGGGAGAAGAGACAAGGGAAAGGAGAAGGGAAAAGGGAAAGGAGAAGGGAAGGGAGAAGGGAAGGGAGCAAAAGGGAAGGAAAGAAAGAAAGGAAAGGAAAGGAAAGAAAGAAAAGGAAAGGAAAGAAAGAAAACCCAGAGCCUAAGAUGACAGUAUCUAAAGCUUUGUGUGUGAUGGGCUGGUGCAGAUAUAGUAGUCACAGUUCUUUCCUUAGGCUCUCACUUGGCUUUGGAGUGGGACGGGGAAGAGUUGGAGCCCCACAGUGGGUGGGGGAGGGCAAGGGCGUAGACACAGGGCUGUCCUGCUGCUGGCUGAGCACGAGGUGGGCUUGGCACAAGGUAGGCAACACAGAGUUUCUGUGUACAAGCAUCAAAUCCUUUGAAUCAAUCUUGGGUAUAGUCAAGGUUUUCCUCUUUGCUCUUGAAAGACUGUGAUCCUCAUGGCUUUUCCAUGAGGAUCUCCAGUACCAAAUUCUCCAGCACUAUGGGCUGUAGUGGCUACCCAGGAAGGAAUGGUGGUAAGAAGAAAUAAUGUAGCAAAAGAGUAGCACUUUCAAAGGAUAAGAGAGUCCCUUAUCUGAAAUGCUUGGGACUAGAAGUGUUUUGAAGUUCUGCUUUUUUUCAGAUUGUGGAAUAUUUGCAUUAUACUUACCAGUGGAGCAUACCAAAUCCAAAAAUCCCAAAUCUGAAAUGUUCCAAUGAGCAUUUCCUUUGAACAUCACGUCAGUGCUCAGAAGGUUUUGGAUUCUGGAGCAUUUCAGAUUUUGGAUUUGGGGAUUUGGGAUGCUCAACUUGUUCUAUUGUUUCUUUUUGAAUCAAACUAGGUCAGAUGAACCGAAGACCUAAAUUUGACUAAGCCAUUGAAAUGCUUACUUGGACACUUCAUUAACAGUAAAACACUCAAUUGUUUUCUUAUAAAAACAGAAGACUCCAUCUAAAGAAUUCCAGGAUCUUUUGCAAAUGGUACCCCAAAUGACAAUAUUGCCUUAUCAUCUAUUCCUGAAUGCACCUGUCCUGCUGUCUUACUCCUUUGCUAAUUGCAAACACAGACAUUUUAACAAGUUACAUGCUUACCUACCAUGUGGAUAGUCUAUUCCAAGGAGGUACAGAAUGGCCUUGGGUUCCAAAGGUGUUUUAAAGAUGUUAGGAUGUUCAUCCCUGCGACGUUGUUAUAAUGAAUCUGCUAAUUUUCUUAGAUACCACAGGUACUUGGUGGCAUAUCUGUUAUGGGGGGCAGAUACUUAGCUACUCAGGUCCCUAAGGCACAGGCUUCAUAAGAAUUAUUCUGCUUUUUUGAGGCCUAUUCUUGCAAUUAGGUGCAGUUAGCACCUCUAUUCUAGUUUUGGAAUUUGCCUAAAUUGUCAAUAGUUUUGGAAUUUGCCUAAAAUUUCUAUUUGCCUAAAAUUCCAAUUGUUUUUCAGCUCUUUGACAACAAUUAAGGUCAAGGUCAAGUGUUUCAAUGGGCUUCAACUAUGAGCUUAUUGGAUUAGUGAUCAGAAAAUCUGAUUAUAGCUACUACUUAGCCUUAAGAUCUUGCUUAGAUGUAUCAAAUGAGAUAGUUUAUUUUUCUGUAAGUCAGUGAGAAAAUGUUGUAAAACACUUUUUUUUAAUUUAUGGUUCAAUAUGAAUGCCAGACUUAUAUCUGUUUUCUACUCAGCAUCUUCUCUUGGCUAAUAAGCUUGUCCAACUUACCCUGUCUAAAAUCCAAUUCCCUCCCUCCUCUACCAAAAACACCAAACGCUCAUUCCUAGUCCUCUUCUUCUCAAUAAAAUACAGAUGUGUUUUUCUAAUUAUUUGCUCAGAUAAAAAAUCAGGGAGUCCUUCUUAAUGCCUUUUCCAUUUUCCAUAUCCCACAUCCAGUCUGUCACCAUAUAUAUGCUCUUGGUUGUAUCUGCAAAACACAUCCAGAAUCUAGCCACCUCUCCUACCUCCACUGCCACUGCCCUGUUCAAGCCAUGAUUGUUUCUUGCCUGAACUAUUGCAGUGGUCUCCUAACUGGUCACUCUGUGCUUCCGCCCUUAUCCUCUUUAAUCCAUUCUCAGCACAGCAGCCAAACUGACGAUGUCACCCCUCUGCUCCAGGUCCUCCCACGGCUCCUCCCAUCUCACUGUGAACACAGCACAGCUGGACAUAACUACCAACAUGGCGCCUGUUUACUUUCUGCUGCACUCAUAGGCUCAUUAAAUGAGGUUUCUAGGAUUUCUGGUGUCUAACCCUGCUUUGACAGAGCCUAAGGUAUUUGUUACAUCUGUUAUAUUAAGAAAUAAACCUUAAAUCUCAUGAUGACUCACAAAAGACACUAUACUCUCACAAGGAAAAAAUAUUUCUUUGAACCCUAACCCUAUGAGGAAGGUACAAGAUUCAGUAUUUUACAAGUAGAAUAAUUAAGCAUUGAUUGAUUUGCUGAGCUUACCAUAGCUAGGGAGUUAUCUCCUCAAAUGCUGGUUUUCUGACACCUUCUGUGUUAGCGAUUGUUGUAUGAGCGGCUGAUGUGUUAAUUUAGUUAUAGACUAACUUCAUCCUUUGCUUUUGUAACUUCUCACUCCUUAUUUUUAACCUUUUCAGUGGGUUCUGCCAGUUCCAGAAGAUUUAUCAGUUUUUAAAGAAACAUCACAUUUUGGUUCAAGUUCUCUCUCUAAAAACCUUUGUCAUCAUUUAGCACAUUACAAAUAGUGGCAUGUAGUCCCAGGCUGCAUGUCAAAGGUAAUUAAAUCUCAGGAGUUGGUCAGGAUUCAUAAACUGCUUAAGCUCCAUGCCUGCUCUUCACAGAUGUGGCAUGACUUUGUGAUUAAAUUCCAGUUUGGUAUUCAGUCUGGGACCACUUAUGCUUUUGCUUGUAUAAAGUGGUAUAUGUUUUCAAUAAAGAUUAGCGGAACUAUGUAAGAAA
Molecule: long non-coding RNA, 7730 nt
Organism: Homo sapiens (human)
Lineage: Eukaryota; Metazoa; Chordata; Mammalia; Primates; Hominidae
Exons: 2
Source: RefSeq, a predicted model, not a curated record